Molecule: ribosomal RNA, 768 nt
Filed under: Triticum aestivum (bread wheat)
Lineage: Eukaryota; Viridiplantae; Streptophyta; Magnoliopsida; Poales; Poaceae
Description: partial small subunit ribosomal RNA
Source: RNAcentral
GGGAGAGUCAUUGAGCACCGCUUAAGAAGAAUGACAAGUGUGACCAAAAAUCAGUUUGGUUUCAUGCCUGGGAGGUCGACCAUGGAAGCCAUUUUCUUGGUACGACAACUUAUGGAGAGAUAUAGGGAGCAUAAGAAGGACUUGCAUAUGGUGUUCAUUGACUUGGAGAAGGCCUAUGAUAAGAUACCACGGAAUGUCAUGUGGUGGGCCUUGGAGAAACACAAAGUCCCAGCAAAGUACAUUACCCUCAUCAAGGACAUGUACAAUAAUGUUGUGACAAGUGUUCGAACAAGUGAUGUCGACACCGAUGACUUCCCGAUUAAGAUAGGACUGCAUCAGGGGUCAGCUUUGAGCCCUUAUCUUUUUGCAUUGGUGAUGGAUGAGGUCACAAGGGGUAUACAAGGAGAUAUCCCAUGGUGUAUGCUCUUUGCGGAUGAUGUGGUGCUAGUUGACGAUAGUCGGACGGGGGUAAAUAGGAAGUUAGAGUUAUGGAGACAAACCUUGGAAUCGAAAGGGUUUAGGCUUAGUAGAACUAAAACCGAGUACAUGAUGUGCGGUUUCAGUACUACUAGCUGUGAGGAGGAGGAGGUUAGCCUUGAUGUCCAGGUGGUACCUCGGAAGGACACCUUUCGGUAUUUGGGGUCAAUGUUGCAGGAGGAUGGGGGUAUUGAUGAAGAUGUGAACCAUCGAAUCAAAGCCGGAUGGAUGAAGUGGCGCCAAGCUUCUGGCAUUCUCUGUGACAAGAGAGUGCCACAAAAGCUAAAAGUU